GACGAACGCUGGCGGCGUGCCUAACACAUGCAAGUCGAGCGGGGUUGAAGCGAGGGGUAACUCGAGUUUCUACCUAGCGGCGGACGGGUGAGUAACGCGUGGGCAACCUGCCUCAAGGACUGGGAUAACAGCUCGAAAGGGCUGCUAAUACCGGAUAAGCCCAUGGCCUCGCAUGGGGCCAUGAGCAAAGGGGAAACCCGCCUUGAGAUGGGCCCGCGUCCCAUCAGCUAGUUGGUGAGGUGAAGGCUCACCAAGGCGACGACGGGUAGCCGGCCUGAGAGGGUGACCGGCCACACUGGGACUGAGACACGGCCCAGACUCCUACGGGGGGCAGCAGUGGGGAAUCUUGCACAAUGGGCGAAAGCCUGAUGCAGCGACGCCGCGUGAGCGAAGAAGGCCUUCGGGUUGUAAAGCUCUGUCUGGAGGGACGAAGGAAGUGACGGUACCUCCGGAGGAAGCCACGGCUAACUACGUGCCAGCAGCCGCGGUAAACGUAGCGUG
Molecule: ribosomal RNA, 501 nt
Filed under: uncultured bacterium
Lineage: Bacteria
Description: bacterial SSU rRNA
Rfam family: Bacterial small subunit ribosomal RNA
Source: RNAcentral